GGAGAGGUGGCCGAGUGGUUUAAGGCGGCGGUCUUGAAAACCGUUGGCCCGCAAGGGCCCGGGGGUUCGAAUCCCUCCCUCUCCGCCA
This 88-nucleotide transfer RNA is filed under the name Sulfurifustis variabilis. RNAcentral's name for it is "tRNA-Ser". It matches the Rfam family "tRNA". Rfam says of the family: Transfer RNA (tRNA) molecules are approximately 80 nucleotides in length. Their secondary structure includes four short double-helical elements and three loops (D, anti-codon, and T loops). Lineage: Bacteria; Pseudomonadati; Pseudomonadota; Gammaproteobacteria; Acidiferrobacterales; Acidiferrobacteraceae. The record is from RNAcentral. RNAcentral also lists the same sequence under 1 other name.